CGAUCCAAGCGUUACAUUAAAAAAGAGAAAUUAAAUUAUAAUUUCUCAUCAAUUUACUAUAUAAAUAUUUGUAAAAGGUUUAUAAAUCAUUAAAUACAUAAUUAAAUGUAAAAAAUGUGGUUUCUUCAGUUGAAAUAUAAGUUCCGAGAUAAGCUGGCGGCUGGGAGUCGUGGCGUGCUCCUGUAAUCCAGCUACUUGGAGGCCGGGGUUGGUGGACGGCUUGAGGCGAGGAGCCCUCCCUUCUGGUUCCCUAUGUUGACCGGUUGUCCGCACUAGGCCCAGCGUCAAUAUGGCGACCCCGGGGGAGCCCGGGGCCUCCAGGUCAGCUAAGGAGGAGUGGACCGGCCCAGGGCGGAAACGCAGCAGGCAAAAGCUCCCGCGCAGGGCGGUAGUGGGAUCGCGUCCGUGAAUAGUGUCCAGAUGGGAGCCUCGCCGAUAUAGUUGGACCCAACUCUUUUUUUUUUUUUUUUAGUAUUUUUAUUCAAUUAGGAAUGCACCUUUUUUUUUUUUUCAUUAAAAUUAUAGCACUGUCGUUGAAAAGAAGCUCAUGCGGUUAAACUUCAAGUGUCGUUUUACACUUACAAGUCUGUUAGGUUACUUGCACUCGCUGGUGGGGUUGGACUUUUGCAAGAACCGGGGACCAUUGGACCUUUUUUUUUUUUAAUAUAAAAAAGUGCCAAAUGCGGGAUUACCGGUCGAAAACCAACGGUUUAGACCCCCUUUCCACCGACCCCAUAUUUUUUUCGUUAACAUUUUAAAGUAUACCGAAAAAUGGAUUAAUUAAAAAGACUUUAUUUUAAUUCUUUCACACACACUGUAUUAUCGAAUUCUGUUUUAAAAAUAAAUUUGGGCGUUUUGAAAAAUACAUCUGUCCUAAUAACAAGCAGGUGAAGUUUCUUGGAGAUACUGAUGGCUACAUUGGUUCUGUUGUUGUUAUUUCUUAUCCCCUUGUGUAAAGAUUACACAAAUUCCAUGAGUUCAUGAUCUCAUGUAAUGGGGUAUAGGGGGGGCAGCUUUCAUUGAUCAUGGCAUCAUGAUCCAGGCACAUUUUGGUGAAAGUCUGACUUUGCCUGUAUUUUGAGGCUGUUCCUAACAUGGAAGCCUUUGCUGCCGACUCUAACAUGAGUACAGACACAGCUCCUCCGUAUCCCUGGAGAGGGACCCAUGCUGAGGUCUAUCAACCGGGUCAGUUGAACUCAGGAUUUAUAAAGAGGGAGUGUCCCUCCUGGUUAUAGCAUCAAGUCUAUCAGAACAAGACUUGAUCGUGUAGAGGGUUUACUGUACCUCCCAACAAUGUCCACUGCACCACAGGCCAGUUACAGAGGGGUAAGCACAUUGGUUCUGGAUAGGCUAAACUGAAUGGCUCGCAGUGCAAAAUACUGUUGCAGGUACAAUUCAGGUUUUGUGCCAAAAUUGAAUAAGAAACCCAUGCGAGACCUAACAGUAUUUUCAUGAAGAUAGAGGCUGCCUGGUCGGCAUUCAUAGUUCUUAAAAUUAAAGUUACUUCGGCCAGUAAAUCUUUUUUAUUGUCUCGACGUUUCGACAAAAAUCUUUUGACUUCCUCCAAACCACACUAAACGUCGAGAUAAUAGAAAAUAAUUACUGACCGAAGUAUCUUUAAUAUUAAGGACUUUAACAGUAUCUGUACCAAUACAAAACAUACAAACAUACAUACCAAAAUAUACAAAGGUGAAUUUAAAAAAUCAUAAAAGUCUGGGUAAAAUGUGCAGACUAUGAAGAAAUGUAUUGUUACGUCGUACCCAGUCGCUGUACUUUGUCUACUCAGGAGGCCACAAAGACACACGUGAGUUCGAAGGGAUGCAGCUAAAGUUAGCGCUUUAUUGUAUCUCACUAAACAGAAGGAGUACAAUCAGUAGGACUUACCUUCAACCUCCCCGUCAGAAGAAUCCUUGGCGCCGUGGAUGUCACUCUUGUGUUCCGCUCCACACUGUACAUGUCCAGCCUGGACUACACCGUCUUGUAGGCUGCUCCGAUGUCAGUCUCUCCUGGCACCGUCUUGUAGGAUCAUCCACACGCCCGGAGACAAGUCGCCACGUCUUCUCCUUGCCACAGAUGUGACCAGACUCUGUCCUCCCCCACACAGGAAUGCUGUUUUUAGCGCCUGCCACAUGGCGGCUAGAGUCCACCCCUCUUUCCCCAACUUUACUCUGGUAACUUGUCAUCCAUGUUACAAUAGUUUCAAUUCUCUACAUAAUCUCCUUUUUCAAUGCACCUCUUCCAAAGGUCAGGUAGCUGAGAAGAAGCGGCAAGUUGUCUGUGGGAGUGUAGCCGUGUGUAUGAUCCUGCAAGAUGUCAGAGAAAUUUGCACGACCUGGACAGCUGUGGAAGAUCCUUCUGAUGGCGGACAUUGGAGACAUCUAAUCUCUACUGGCAGCUACUGGUAAUAAAGUACGUUGUGAUGCAUUAGCGCGCCAUCUGUUAUGAAAAUUCGAAACUAUUGUAACGUGGAUGACAAUGCCAAGAUUCCAGAGUAAAGUUGGGGAAAGAGAGCUGGACUCCAGCUGUCAUGUGGCAGGCGCUAAAAACAGCAUUCCUGUGUGGGGGAGGACAGAGUCUGGUGACAUCUGCGCCGAGGAGAAGACGCGGCGACUUGCCUCCGGGCGUGUGGAUGAUCCUACAAGACGGUGCCAGGAGAGACUGACAUCGGAGCGGCCUACAAGACGGUGUAGUCCAGGCUGGACAUGUACAGUGUGGAGCGGGACACAAGAGUGACAUCCACGGCGCCAAGGAUUCUUCUGACGGGGAGGUUGAAGACAAGUCCCACUGAUUGUACUCCUUCUGUUAAGUGAUAUACAAUAAAGCGCUAACUUUAGCUGCAUUCUUCGAACUCACAUGUGUAUCUUUGUGGCAUCCUGAGUAGACAAAGUACAGCGUCAGGGUACGAUGUAACAGUAUUAUAGACACGUAUGAUUCUUUUUACAAUUCAAGCAAUUUCUACUGUCCUUACUGCAAUGUAUAGAUCGUGUCGGUGUUGGGAUAGUGGUCAGACAGUGUUGUUCGCUAUUGUUGUAUGUAAUUAAAUUUCUUUGUCUUUAACUAUAUUGUAGCGAAGCAUUUAUUAUUUUACACUAGUAUUAACAGAGUAUCAUAUUUUAUGUUUAUAGUUUACUACUCUGUAAACUUCCCUCAUUCCUUAUCUUUUGUUUAUCUUUCAUAGUUUGUUCUUGUCUUAAAUAAAUUUCUGUCUCAUCUUGAAGUUUGUCUUCCUCAACUUACCCAGCAUCUCCACCAAAAUACCACGUGGAAAAUUAGGGAAGAAAAACUUCGGGAUGAGACAGCGAUUUAUUUAAGUCAAGAACUAACAAUGAAUAAUAAACAAAAGAUAAGCAAAUGAGGGAAGUUUACAGAGUAGUAAAAUAUAAACAUACAUGAAACUCUGUUAAUAAAAUAAUAAAUGGUUCGCUACAAUAUAAUCUCAAGUGGCGUAUAGAUGUGUUGUCCUAUUGUAGUAUUUCUUCUCUAAAACACGCUAUUUUAGCUGUUGUUUUCAUUUUGAAAAUAGUUAGCUUAGGUUUAACCUUUCAGUUCUGACAACCUUGAGUAUAUUCAUCAUAUCACUAAUAAGACAGCCUUAGUGCCAAUUAUAUGUUCUGUUCCAAGACCACUUUAUUAGGGAUAUCUCAAAAAGAGAAACCUAGCUUAUGGUAUUUACUAUGAAUAAUGGGGGUCGGUGGAAGGAUGGUCUAAACUGUUGGUUUUCGAUCGCUACGACCCUGGUUCGAUUCCCGCAUUGGGUACAUUUUUCUGAUAAAAAAAUGCUUUAAUGGCCCACGAUUCUUUCAAAAGUCCAACCCCACCAGUGAAUGCAAGUAACCAAAACGGGGCUCUGGCAUAUUUGUAAGUGCAAAGUCGAACUGCUUUUCACAUGUGUAGACAUGUAGUGUACUUACAGUAAAAGAAGUCGCUAACUACCCACCAUGAUUAUCAUGGUCUGUAUCACGUGUACUAGGGAUAAGCCAAACAAUGAUGUGACUAUUGUGGGAUACGAUCCCGGUACAUGGAUGUCGGGAAUCGAGGGUUUUAAACACUCGUCCACCGACUUUUCCCCCAAUUAUAUUUCAAGCAGGCGACAUCCUAGCUCUCAGUGUACUUCUGGUUAGAAAAGUUGACUAGGUUCUGUGGUGCAGGCCCAACAGCCGUGAUCCGGAAUCCCGCAUUGUGUAUUCUUCCAUGCUUUACCUGCUCGCGAUUCUUGCACAAGUCCAACCCCACCAGAGAGUACUGACAAAAGUUACUAUUUACGGGAUAACACACAAAGUUGCAUAUUACUAGAACCUACAGUAAGAGUAACUAACAUAGAGAAAAACGUGCACUCAAGAGUACAACAACAACAACAAAAGGAGCAAAAUAAAAAACCUCACGAUUUGUUAUAUAAAAACAAAACAGUACUUUUAUUGUAGCGUUGGUAGGGAUCGGACCGGGGUCACACAGGUAUGUGAGGAGAUCACCAGACACGGAUAAAUCACACAGAGAACACUUUAAACGUCUCCACACAAUAAUCCACCACACUGGUCUCUCGUAAUACCAUAGUCCCUUCUUAUAUACAAACAUGGCCACAUUCGUCCAAUGACGUGAGAGAUUGGUUCACUUAACAAACAAAAACAAAAAUCUUCCCACUAAAACCUGAGAAAUGAUAAAAGUGAAAUUAUUUGUCAAUAUAAUUUGACAGUACAAGUAACCAAACAGGGCUCUGGUACCUUAAAAGUGCAAACUUUGAACUGUUUUUUACAUAUGUGACACUUGGGGCUCUUAUAGGGUAAAAAAACAAUCGUUAUCUACCCCUCAUGAUUAUCAUGGCUCACUGGUGUUUGGCUGCUUGCACUGCAUCCAGGUUUCUGUAUGUAAAACAUUGUUCUUUGCAUUUACAAGAUGUGCUAGUCUCGUUUGGUGGAACAGCUAUGAAAUAUAUAGUGUUGUUGAGUCAUGGGAUUUAUUUUUUUUUUUUUCAUUUGUUGGGAAACUUCAGGUGCGUGUCAAAAGUUUUUAAUCAAUAAUAUUUUUAGUAUAUUUGAAUUUUUCUAUUUCUUAUUAAAAUUAUAUAUUUAAAUAAAAAAAAAAAUUAUGACGUAAAAAAAAAAAGUAGUCAAACAAGGGUUCGAACCCUUGACCUUACUAUCAGCGGGCAUAACUUUGGAAUGCUAUAUUUUCAAUGUAAAAAAAAAAAUGCAUUCCUAAUUAAAUAAAAAUAUAAAAACACAAAAAAAGAGUUAGGUCCAACUAUAUCGGCGAGGCUCCCAUUUGGACACUAUUCACGGACGCGAUCCCACUACCGCCCUGCGCGGGAGCUUUUGCCUGCUGCGUUUCCGCCCUGGGCCGGUCCACUCCUCCUUAGCUGACCUGGAGGCCCCGGGCUCCCCCGGGGUCGCCAUAUUGACGCUGGGCCUAGUGCGGACAUCCGGUCAACAUAGGGAACCAGAAGGGAGGGCUCCUCGCCUCAAGCCGUCCACCAACCCCGGCCUCCAAGUAGCUGGAUUACAGGAGCACGCCACGACUCCCAGCCGCCAGUUUAUCUCGGAACUUAUAUUUCAACUGAAGAUAACACCUUUUUACAUUUAAUUAUGCAUUUACUGAUUUAUAAAUCUUUUAAAAAUUAUUAUACAGUUAAUUGGUAGGGAAUUAUAAUUUAAUUUCUCUUUUUUAAUGUAACGCUUGAAUCGGUUGUUAGCAAACAGCAGACACUGCCCGCCAUCUAGUGUUAGAAAUUGUAACUAUUUUUGAAUGUCCCCUUUUUCACCCCUAAUAUACAUGCAUUUAUCUCUCUAUAUAUAUAAGCCUAUUUUAAUAUAUAUAAUUACUGUAUUAAUAUAUACAUGAAAAAAUAAAAAGGUCAGGUGUUAAUAUUAAAAAUAAAAAAGGCAUAUAUUUUUAAUAUAUAUAUAAAAUAUUUAUAUUAGAACAUUGGCCUGAAUACAAAAGACUAAUCCUAGUAGAUACUUAAAAUCUCAAAUAUGUGAGCAAAGAAUGACUUUUAAAAAUAUAAAAAUAUUUACCAACAAAGUUUUUUUAAUUAUUAUUAAUUAAAAAUAAUAGCUUUCAAACGAUAAUUGCUCUUUAACGGUCUUAAUACAAAAAAACAUCGACUAUAUUUUACUCUAGAAGUAUUUACAAAUACGUACGCGCACAGUGUGGAUAUUUACAACUGAAAUUUUAAAAUUGAAAUGUAAUUUAACAAUGUUAUGUAAUAUAUGUCUAUGUUUUUAGGGCAACCAUGGAAUAGAAAACUAACCUACUUUGUAGAAAUAAUGAGAGCAAAUGGUUUGAGGAAGAUGUUGAUGUUAGAAAAAAAUGAAGAUAGAGACGAAGACCUCCAAUGAGCUGGCUAUAAGAAGCUGCGAGAAAUUGUCACUAGAAGAUCAAAUUGAAGAAUAUUUGUCCAUAUUAACAACAAUAAACUCCGUCUUUGCCGGUCCCAAGCCCAGGUGAAAAAGGAGGAGGGGGAGCAGUAACAAGCUCACUAAAAAACCUGGGCUCAGCUGGCCAUGCUGAUAGUACUCUGUAAGGUCUCCAGGGAUAAAGGAUGAGUCUGUACUCCAUGUUAGGAGCGGCUGCACAUGGCAUCUGUUCCUCAUGUCAGAGGCGGCCAUUUCUUCUGGAGCUAAGUCGGCCUGCCACUGAGUAGUGCUCCCAGUCUUAAUGACAAAGGCAGACUACUUCACCCAGUCAUGAUGGUUGUCAAACAGACACCAUCAAGGGUCACAACUUGAUACCCUAAUAUGAUUUAGUGGAGAUAAGAAAGAAGAAGACAACAAUGACUUUAUAAAUAGCUGCGUGAUUGUGCAAGACAAGGUGACUCGAACGUAACACCUGUAAAACUGAGAUGAAAUAAAUACUUUUGAGAUUGUUCCCUGUUGGGUUUGGCGAUCUAUGGAUGCACUCCAGGAGUCUGGGUUACCUUUUUGUUACUACUCCUACUCCAAUACUGGGUAGUUGGCGUUCUACGCUCAUGGAACCUGGUUUAUAAAUAUAUUUUAUUAGAAUGCAUUAGCGCGCCAUCUGUUAUGAAAAUUUGAAACUAUUAUAGACGCGUAUGAUUCUUUUUAAAAUUAAACAAUUUCUACUGCCCUUACUGUAAUGAAAAAAUUAAUGGGCUUUCCCAUUAGGCGGCCAUUUCUUUUAGAGCUAAGUCGGCCUGCCACUGAAUAGUGCUCCCAGUCUUAAUGACAAAGGCAGACACAUUCUACUUCACCCAGUCAUGAUAGUUGUCAAACAGACACCAUCAAGGGUCACAACUUGAUACCCUAAUGUUCCCAUGUUCCCCCUCUAUGUUCCCAUUACAGUAAGGGCAGUAGAAAUUGUUUAAUUUUAAAAAGAAUCAUACGCGUCUAUAAUAGUUUAAAAUUUUCAUAAAUAUCUUUGAUGAAAACAAAUUGCACGUAUUUUGAGGCAAUUACUUUGUUAUUAUAUAUUUAUUUCCAAGAUUAUUGUCUUUGAUGAGUUGAAUAUUUGUUUUGACUCGUGCUUUAGAUGUUGUACAAAAUUUGAAAAAUCGCGUAGAACGCCCUUGCAUUUUCAGAAUAAUUUUUAACGCCUUACCAAAUGCUUUAUUUUUAUUUCUUCCAGACUCAACCUCAGCAUGGAACUUCCUCGUCAACUGGUUCUACUCAGCAAUCAAAACAGGACGUGGGUAAAAGCGCUUAGCACUAUUCCAUACUGGUGAACUGGACUCGCGAUAAUGAAAUAUUUGCGCCUAUUACAGAGGAAACAAACAAACAAAUUAGAACUUAGAAUUAAAUAUUUACCAAUUUACAUGUAUUAAUCGACAGAGUUCAUAAAAUGUAUAUAGACAAAGAUGUAAGAGAGUUAAAUCAUUUAGAUCAGGGAACAAUCUCACUUCUGUAAAGUUCGGACAAUCGUAGAUAAGGUGAAGUUUGUUCAGUUUCUCCGCAGGAACAAUUUGGUGUUUCUGAUAGACCUCUUUUAUGUAAGUAUUUCUGGCCGUGUGAUGUGAUAACACUGGUCAACAACAUUCUUGCCCUAGAGAACCUGAUGGUGUUUCUAGUGUAACUUUUCAUGCUGAACUCAAAAAUCAGAAAUUUUCCAUCACCCAUGAUUUUUGCGUGACAGCCUUUUUUUGGUAUUGGGAUAAAUACAUUUAAAAAAUGCAAAAAAUAUUACGUAAGCAUUUUUUCAUAAACCUUAUUACAUUACACUGGUUUGUCAAAAAGUAUUUUUAUUUGUCCCAAAAGAAACAGCAUCUUAUCUAAAUUUAACUCUUUGUGCUGAUUCCAAAUAUACCGUUAGUUUUUUCUGUUUCAAAAGUUACAUUAGAAUAAACAUCAGGUUUUCUCCGGCAAAAAAAAAAAAAAGUUUUUGUGUAGACCUGUGUAAUUUGAAUGACUAUAAAAUUUGGAUGGAACUGUGUAGAAAAUUCCGUUUGCGAAAUUUUUUUUGUAUUUGCCAAAAUUGAUUCUGUGCGUUUUGCGAAAAGACGAUCAAAGAAAUGUAUCAAUGCAUCGAUUGAAAUGGAGGGGCGCUUUUUUGAACAUCUUCCGUAUACACCUAUCCCCCGAUUUACACGGUAGUUACGUUCCUGAGAAAAACGUGUAAAUCGGGGGAUAGGUGUACACAGAAAUAAAAAUAAAAUGCAUUGACAGGUUAAAAUAUGUAGUCAGCACAUAAGCUCGGGAUUCCUCGUGAGAUGUGUACACAGCGCAUGUGUUCAAUCACAGUAGCAUUUAGUAUAGUGCGAUAAAAACAAAAAAAAAAAAACUUAUUUGGAAAACCGUGUAAAAGCGAAAACGUGUAAAACAAGUACCGUGUAAAUCGGGGGAUAGGUGUAUUCCAAUAUGCAAAUAUACGGAAUACAAACAUUGAUAUUCAACCACAAACAUUGAUAUGUAAAACGACAUUUGAAAAAUUUCCCGCAUGUGUUUCUUUUAAACGAAAAAUCGAAAUAUAUUUUUAAGGAGAAAUAACGAUUAUUUCUAUCCUUAGGGAUGAAGUAUGAAAGGAUGAAUUGUAAAGAGUAAUGACGGAUUCCCAUCCCUGGACACUUUAUUUUUUCCUUUAUCAUUACUCUUCACAAUCCAUCCUUUCAUACUUCAUCCCUAAUCGUUAUUUCUCCUUAAAAAUAAAUUUCUAUUUUUCGUUUAAAAGAAACACAUGCGGGAUAAUUUUCAAAUGUCGUUCUACAAUCAUAAGUCGCAUAUUGUAUUAUAAACAUUGAUAUGUUGAAUUAUUCAUUUUCUCUCAAUUUAUCUUCAUAUAACAUUUAUUACAAGUAUUAUUGUCGGAAGACAGAGAAAACAUAUUCCAUAUUUACUUCAGUGUAGCAUUUUUCGAUUGUUCUAUCUUACUUUUUAUCGUUCUGGUGACCCUAUCAAAUGGCUUGUGAUAAGUCGAUAUCUUAAAGUAUGAUUCCUGAUACUUGGUUCUAUCCAUCUUGGUUGGUCUUAUGUCUUUCUGAUACAUUUCUGUCGACUGAAGAUUAUCGAAUGCAACCAAAUAAAUACACCUUUAUUAUUGGGCCAUUUUUCUUUGAAAAAAUCAAUGGGGGGAAGAACUUUUAAAACCGUUUCUGUAACUGGUGAACGUUAUGUUCAACUUUUGAGAGAAAAGGUUAUUCCCAUAUUACAGGACAGAC
Molecule: non-coding RNA, 9604 nt
Organism: Cordylochernes scorpioides
Lineage: Eukaryota; Metazoa; Arthropoda; Arachnida; Pseudoscorpiones; Chernetidae
Source: the annotation of a GenBank genome assembly